CAAACAACUGGGCAGGCUGAAAAUUGAAACAGUUUCACACCUUCCAGAGGCGUAGCUGGGUCACCAGCGCAGGACGCCAGCUGCUUCAAGCAGCCCACAUGCCGAAAAGCUGAGAAGCUCCCGCUGUGUCCUGACCAAGGUGCUGCUAUGUAAAUGCUGAACAUAUGAGAAGGAUGGUUUGAGCAUGCAUUUUUAACAUCGCUGUGUACCAAGGGACCAGUGAAACUACCUAAACCACAGGCAUUCCUCUUGCUACAAACUAACAGUUCUCAAAAGCAAUGCAGAUUUUUCCAAGCCCUCCUGGAGUUGCCUAUAACCAGUGCAACAGCAGAUUUAUUCAGUGUUCAUUCUGGUCCUUCUAUUGGAUACAUCAAGUGGAGCAGCUCAUUUCAGGAGCCAAAAAGUAUUCUGGAACAGAUGUAGCGAAUGAAGACUUAACAAUGAUGUACACAGCACAGAAAAAUAAGAGUUCCUUUCAGUUUCCUGGACAAAAUGGGAAGAUACUUUGGCACGUGUACUAAGGAUGGUACUGAAACUCUGGAAGAAAAUCACAAUAGAAAUUUCCUCCUCAGAACAAGAAUCUCCUUUUUUGCCUUUUACUAAUUUAAGAGAACAUUCAUUUAACUCAGGGAAGUGUAAUUACAAGUAUUACUCAGUUUCUUGCAAUCCCUCCUCCACGUUUUAAGAAAUUUUAUCUUAAGAGAUGUACGUAGCUGGCAGUUGGACUAGAUAAUCAUUGUAGGUCCCUUCCAACUGAAAUGUUCUAUUUUACUCUACACAAGGCUUUACAGUCACCCACAUAAGAGCACCUUCUGAGGCAGAAGAGGCGAAAGAGCACUUGGAACCUUCUAUUCCUUCCCCUGAUCUGAAUCAUAUUUCAGUGAUCUGCAUCGCUGUUGGAACCCAACACAAGGAAAAAAAAGCCCAGAGAAACUGGAAGGCAUUCUGAGGCAACAAUAAGCUCACUGUUCACCUUAGUAUCAACCACAACUAAAAAAGCCCAAAUACACUGCAAGGAGCAAGAAAAAAAUUUUUCCUGUUUUAUGUAUAUGUAUAUAUAUAUUACACACAUAUAUAUCUAUAUUAACUAUUAAAAGAUUUAUCUUCAUUUCGAAAAGUGACAUUUUCCUGAGCCAUAACGGGUAAGUGGGAGAAGAAAUAACUAACUCUGAAGAGUCAUUGAAAACACCAACAUUAGCCACCUUAACUAUAUGAUAAUGAAUCGGAAGUCCUGUUGAGGAAAUAAGUACAGAAGAACACACGGCGUGCAUAGAUACAAUACUGAUGUUUGCUGAUGUAUUCAUCCUAAUUUUCUAUUAUUUUGUCUUUCACUAUAUGCCAAGUGUAAUCUCUGUAGUACAAAUGAGGAUUUAAAAGAAAGUGCCUGCUGAGAUUUAAGAAUCAGUGCUUAUAAUCAGACCGUAAACAAUGAAAAAACCUUAAGCCUGUAACUUAAAUUACAAGUAAUAUAAGCUUUGUAUUCUGAAACUCCAAAUUAAAGUAUUAUUGUACUAUUGAAAAGUGUUUUAGUGAGGUAGGGAGCUAAAAGACAAAAGAAUAAAAUUCCACCAUGUGGUUUGUGCAUCCAAAUAGUUCCAUAUCCACUGAAGAAAAACUGUUAGAGAUUUCUUAAAUCUGUUAAAAGUUGCUCACUGCCGCUUUAAACUUUAGUGAUUAAAAUCAUAUUUUGUACUUCCUUUUUUUAUAAUCUAAUUUUUUACUUCAUUACCCACUUGUCUCAAAACAAAGAAGGGCUUAGAGAACAGUUUUACUAAAGCACUGUCUGGUAUGCUAAAGGUAUUGUGUCAUCUUUCCGGAUGUCUGAAGUGGUCAAGGCAAACAAGAACCAUGCCUGAUGCUGAACAGCUCUGUCAUGUAAUGAUGAGUUUCAAGAAGAGAUUCAACUUGUCAAGAGCCACUUUCUGGGGGCAGAUCAAAAUAUGAAAUGAAAUUCCCCAAGAGCUCUUUAAAUUAAAUCCUGUUAUGUUGAUUUCUGUAAUUUUCAUAGAGUUAGAACUGGAUUCACUGCAACUUUAUGUAAGAGGUUUCUGAAAUAUCAUCUAGAUCUCACUGGACUACAAAAAGCACAUUGUAAGUGUUAACAGCUUACACACUCACCUCAUC
Molecule: non-coding RNA, 2124 nt
Organism: Phalacrocorax carbo (great cormorant)
Lineage: Eukaryota; Metazoa; Chordata; Aves; Suliformes; Phalacrocoracidae
Source: RefSeq, a predicted model, not a curated record